Molecule: ribosomal RNA, 469 nt
Filed under: Pseudomonas sp. oral taxon 032
Lineage: Bacteria; Pseudomonadati; Pseudomonadota; Gammaproteobacteria; Pseudomonadales; Pseudomonadaceae
Description: bacterial SSU rRNA
Rfam family: Bacterial small subunit ribosomal RNA
Source: RNAcentral
AUUGAACGCUGGCGGCAGGCCUAACACAUGCAAGUCGAGCGGAUGAAGAGAGCUUGCUCUCUGAUUUAGCGGCGGACGGGUGAGUAAUGCCUAGGAAUCUGCCUGGUAGUGGGGGAUAACGUUCCGAAAGGAACGCUAAUACCGCAUACGUCCUACGGGAGAAAGCAGGGGACCUUCGGGCCUUGCGCUAUCAGAUGAGCCUAGGUCGGAUAGCUAGUUGGUGGGGUAAAGGCUCACCAAGGCGACGAUCCGUAACUGGUCUGAGAGGAUGAUCAGUCACACUGGAACUGAGACACGGUCCAGACUCCUACGGGAGGCAGCAGUGGGGAAUAUUGGACAAUGGGCGAAAGCCUGAUCCAGCCAUGCCGCGUGUGUGAAGAAGGUCUUCGGAUUGUAAAGCACUUUAAGUUGGGAGGAAGGGUUGUAACCUAAUACGUUGCAAUUUUGACGUUACCGACAGAAUAAGCAC